GGAUGUGAGGGCGAUCUGGCUGCGACAUCUGUCACCCCAUUGAUCGCCAGGGUUGAUUCGGCUGAUCUGGCUGGCUAGGCGGGUGUCCCCUUCCUCCCUCACCGCUCCAUGUGCGUCCCUCCCGAAGCUGCGCGCUCGGUCGAAGAGGACGACCAUCCCCGAUAGAGGAGGACCGUUCUUCGGUCAAGGGUAUACGAGUAGCUGCGCUCCCCUGCUAGAACCUCCAAACAAGCUCUCAAGAAGUAAAUAAAGCAACAAAAUGCAGAAUAUCACACUUUACAUGAAUCUAUUCCAUAUUUGUUAGCCUCAAAGCACAAAUAACAUCCUUGCCGGACCAAAGUGU
Molecule: small nuclear RNA, 343 nt
Filed under: Castor canadensis (American beaver)
Lineage: Eukaryota; Metazoa; Chordata; Mammalia; Rodentia; Castoridae
Description: 7SK RNA (ENSCCNG00000028046.1)
Rfam family: 7SK RNA (bases 1-301)
About the family: 7SK was discovered as an abundant small nuclear RNA in the mid-70s but a possible function has only recently been suggested. Two independent studies have found that 7SK RNA binds the CDK9/cyclin T complex (known as elongation factor P-TEFb).
Source: Rfam by way of RNAcentral